CCAAAGUGCAAAUUUGGAGACGCACCCAGAGAGGUGCCGGGGCUUCUCCCGUUU
RNAcentral lists this transfer RNA (54 nucleotides) under Ailuronyx trachygaster. RNAcentral describes it as "partial tRNA-Cys". Lineage: Eukaryota; Metazoa; Chordata; Lepidosauria; Squamata; Gekkonidae. The record is from RNAcentral.